AAAUUCAAACCUAAACCCAACCUCUUUAUUAAAUAGAUAAUCCGAUCCGAUCCGUUUAAUCCAUUUAUUAAAUAAAUUAAAUUAGAUUAAACGGACUAAAUAAGUUAAACAGACGAGAUUAAAUGAGUCAGAAACAUGUUAAACAGAUUUUAAACAGGUUAAACGGAUCUUAAAUGGGUUAAACAUGUCAAAUUAAAUGGGUCAGAAAUAGAUUAAACAUGUUAAAUGGAUUAUCUGACUCAAUUCAAUCUGAAUAUUAAACGGAUUAAAUGAGUCAGAUAUGUAAAACCCAAAUCC
RNAcentral lists this long non-coding RNA (297 nucleotides) under Elaeis guineensis (African oil palm). Its description in RNAcentral is "long non-coding RNA (EGUI_LNC019334)". The record is from RNAcentral. Lineage: Eukaryota; Viridiplantae; Streptophyta; Magnoliopsida; Arecales; Arecaceae.